AAAUGGAGAACAGCUGCUCACGCUCGUCGUCUGACAUCAGCUAUUUCUCAGGAUGACCCUGCGAGACAGGCCAGGGUCAUUAGACCCAAUUUGGUUCUCAGCAAAUAUGUGUUUAUUCCUGCAUGCGUGGGCCACAGGCUGGUUUCUUGGGUGCAAUGAAUAGCUGCAGGUUUAUUAGGGUGUCUUUUUAGAUGGAUGUAUGUUUCCCGAUGUCUAUAGAACACUCCGGACCCCGGAGAGUGAAGACUCUGCCUGUCGGACUUGCUUUGAGAAGAUCCUUCUCCACCUCCCCAUGGCAGAAGUUGCUUCACAGAGGGGAACAGUUUUAUGGAUGUGGCUGAGACCUUAAACUUGAGGCAACCCAUCUGAGGUGGCAUCCAGAGGAGACUGGCUGGCCCCUCCUUCACCUUGGAUGUAGUGCUGUUUCUAGGAUCUCUUUUCAAUCAGCAAAACAGGGGAUGUUCCAAGAGGGUGUGGAUUCCCUGCCAUCCCACAUGGUCAAGUGGAGGGGACGGGAAAAAGCUAUGAAGGGUUUGUGACCACACAGACUCUCCUGGCCCCCUGUCCUUUUGGAAAGAAGACAGGGAUGAAAUAUAAUCAAGCAAUUAACCACCCCCAUCAUCACCAAGAACAACAGUAUCAACAAGAAGAACAGGGACAACAAAACCCACGGAUGAAACAUUCCUUUCUCAGCUCAGAUCUUAUCUGGUGCGUUCUCUCUCUGCUCUGUCUUGGUGUGUGGUUUAGAGAAACAUGGACAACGCUGUUUGGAAGAACAGUAGCCAGUCCUGCCAGGGUUCUGGCUGUGCCGGGACAGUGAAUGGCCACUCCGUCCCAGAUGAGCUGCAGGAAGCGUUUCGAUGUCAUGUGGAGGUGAUGGCGAUUUUCAACUCAUUCCCGUUACAAACAGCCGACCUUCCUACCGAGUUCAAGUACCUUCUGCCUGGCCUGGAAGAACAAUAUCUCUCUGUCUCCCUCUUCCACUGGCCCUCACCUGCCUUCCCCUGAACAUGCAUUUUGCCUGACAGGAGACAGAGGCAGUUGAUGCUUGCAGCUUGGUCCAGGAGGCCAGCAGGACCAGAGAGAAGACCACAGCGACACAUGGGGAUGGCUGUCCCACAGGCAGAAAUGAGCAGCCGGGAGGAAGCCCAGGCAGCCAGCCACCCAGCUCCCUCCACAUCGUGGCCCUAGAACGGAGUCUUGAAGAAUAAGAAGCCACAGCUUGUCAGGGAAUCAGGCUGGAAAAAUGUUAUGAGACUGAGUAAGACCAGAGAUUCCUCAGCAGUGCCUGGAGAAGACCAGGAGAGGAAGCAGAAGACCCUCCUCAAAGAAGCAGCCUUCACCUCCAGACCUCCCAGCGGGACUUAGACAAUGGGGUUAGGCAGUCACAUGUCUGCACGUGGAAACUUUCUGGGACUGUGCUUGGAUCCUGGCUCUGCCUUUUACUAGCCAUGUGACCUUGGGAAAAUCACUUGACUUCUCCGUGCAGGAUUCCUCAUCUGUAAAAAUGGUCUAAGAUUAGGAGCCACCUCAAGGUUGUUGUAGGAAUUAAAUUAAUUCAUGUUUAUAAAGUGCUUUGAACAGCGUUUGGCACAUGGUAAGUGCUAUGUGGUAAGUGCUGUCUAUUGAUUACAUAAAUAAAAGUGAUCACCAUUAGACUUUC
RNAcentral lists this long non-coding RNA (1663 nucleotides) under Homo sapiens (human). RNAcentral describes it as "long independently transcribed non-coding RNA 1605, transcript variant 3 (LINC01605)". The record is from RNAcentral. Lineage: Eukaryota; Metazoa; Chordata; Mammalia; Primates; Hominidae.